CCGUUCGCGGCCUAUCCAGCUUGUUGGUGGGGUAACGGCCUUACCAAGGCGAUUACGGGUAGCCGGCCUGAGAGGGCGACCGGCCACACUGGGACUGAGACACGGCCCAGACUCCUGCGGGAGGCAGCAGUGGGGAAUAUUGCGCAAUGGGCGAAAGCCUGACGCAGCGACGCCGCGUGGGGGAUGACGGCCUUCGGGUUGUAAACCUCUUUUACCACCAACGCAGGCUCCGGGAUUCCUCCUCGGGGUUGACGGUAGGUGGGGAAUAAGGAGCGGCUAACUACGUGCCAGCAGCCGCGGUAAUACGUAGGGUCCGAGCGUUGUCCGGAAUUAUUGGGCGUAAAGAGCUCGUAGGCGGCGUGUCGCGUCUGCUGUGAAAGACCGGGGCUUAACUCCGGUUCUGCAGUGGAUACGGGCAUGCUAGAGGUAGGUAGGGGAGACUGGAAUUCCUGGUGUAGCGGUGAAAUGCGCAGAUAUCAGGAGGAACACCGGUGGCGAAGGCGGGUCUCUGGGCCUUACCUGACGCUGAGGAGCGAAAGCAUGGGGAGCGAACAGGAUUAGAUACCCUGGUAGUCCAUGCCGUAAACGUUGGGCGCUAGGUGUGGGGACUUUCCACGGUUACGCGCGACGUAGCUAGAGCAUACGAUUAUGACGCCCGCCGGGGGGGGAAGAACGGAA
This 678-nucleotide ribosomal RNA is filed under the name Actinomycetes bacterium. RNAcentral's name for it is "bacterial SSU rRNA". It matches the Rfam family "Bacterial small subunit ribosomal RNA", at positions 227 to 891 of the family's 1533-position model. The record is from RNAcentral. Lineage: Bacteria; Bacillati; Actinomycetota; Actinomycetes.